UCAAAGUGAAACACAUCCCUUGAAUCCUUCCCUUCACAUAGAAUGAGUUCAGAAGAACUGAUACCACUGUGAGAAGAUCCAUCUCCAAGAGGUAAUUUCAACUCGACUGAUCUAUUCUAUUUAAUGCUUUCGAAAAUGAACGACAAUCAUUCAACAUAUGAAUUUUUUAUUGCCAUUGCAGUAGCUCAUAUUUUGCAUCACCGGAGACCAUUUUGUUGCUUAGUCAUUAAUUGUCCGGCUGUGUAUUAAAUCCCUUGUUUUGCAUCUUUCUAAUCCGUAAAUUUGGGGUUUUUAUUUGUUCCAUUACUACUAUUGUCUUUGCAUGUUGCGGUAAUUCCUGUAUGCUAUAAAAUUGGUUGACAUCUGUACCUGCAAAAUGAGCAACAUGAUUAGCUAGAAAAUCGGCCAAGCUGUUUCCUUCCCUAAAUGUGUGCACCACCUCCACCUCUACAUUCACCAUCCAUCUUUUUAUACAUUGAAUGUCAACUGAGAUUGACCAUGGAACUUCCCACACUCCAUCCAACAUUUUUUUUAACAAUCAAUGAAUCAGUUUCCAUGAUUAAAGGUAGUAAGCCAUUUUCUAAGCAAUAUUUCAAUCCUGCUCUAAAUGUUUUCACUUUCGCUACAACAGCAGUACAUAUUUCCACAUUUCUAGCUUUAGCAAAGAUUAGGUUGCCUCCCUCAUCUCGAACAUAAAUGGCUGUGGAACCAGGCCCAGGAUUCCCUUUACUGGUGCCAUCAGUAUUGCAUUUGAAUCUACCCAUGGGAGGAUGCUCCCAAUACACAACUGUACUACAGAUUAAUGGUGUAUAUUCCUCCAAUACCUUGACUAUCAAAGGCUAUGUGUUAGGAAGAUUUCUUAGCCAUGGAUAUCUAUUUUUGGCAAAGAGAUACAAAUAAUUGUUAAUCUCCAUAAACAUGGUGUGUGUAGACAUAGUUCCUCCAUUCCUAACAAUGUUUCGUAUCUUCCAUAUUUGCCAAAUAAUGAAGAUAGGAACAACAUGAAGCAAAGGUUUCAUCUUGCUUCCACAAUCAGCUUCCCACCAUAAAUUUAUCACUUGUCUAAAUUGAACCAUUGGCCCUUGAAUACCUGCUGCUUCUGCAAAAAAUUUCCACACACUAUAAGUUGUAGGGCAAUGAAUAAAAAGGUGAUCACAUGUCUCCUCUACAUUAGUGUUGCAAAUACAACAUUUGACAGAAUCAGUAACUCUUAGUCUCACCAGUACCUCUCUACUAGGAAUUCCCAUAUACCACAGUCUCCAUAUUAAAAAUGAGAUUUUAAAAGGCAACCCUUUCUCCCAUAUAAACAUUAUCUUCUUAAUCGUAUCUCUUCUUCCCUUCAUUAGAUUCCAAGCACUGCCAACAGAAAAUUUGCCUAUAUUAAUAGGCAUCCACCAUGGCUUAUCUCUAUCAUCAGAUUUAUGAAUGUUGGCCAACUUCAUACAAAUGUGAUUACUGACUUCUUCAGUAACAAUCUCAUUUAACAAAGUGUUAUUCCAACCCUCCUCAAGCAUUAGUUGAUUUACAUAUUUUAUGUGACUAUGAACAUGGUCAACGGGCAAGUAGUAGUGUAAUGCUCCCAAUUGUGUCCAGUUAUCAAACUAAACACUACACUGACCAAAUUUGGGCUCCCACCAAAUCUCUUGUUCCAUGAAGUCUCUAACUUAUAGCAUGAGUUUCCAUACCUGAGAGCCGCCUCUCCAUUCUACUACUUGAGGGCUAUAUUUUUUACAGUACUUGUUCCACAUAAAGUUAGACCAUAAUGUAUUAGUUGUCCUAAAAUUCCACCAUAAUUUAGCAAAGAGUGCCUUAGAAACAUCAAAUAGAGAUCUAAAACCAAGCCCUCCUUCCUCCUUUGGUAAACAUAUGUCAUCCCAAGCAAUCCAGUGCUUAGCCUUUCCACCCUCCUUGAAAUUCCAUAGGAAUUUAGCAAAAAUCCUAUGAAUAUCAUAAAUAACACAUUUUGGGGGACAAAUAGCAGAUAACAAGUAUAUAGGAAUACUUUGUAACACAUGAUUAAUCAACACUGCUUUACCUCCAAAAGACAACAAUUUGCCUUUCCAAACCUGCAAUUUGGUUUGAAUCUUCUUAAUUAGCUCUGAAAAGUGUACCUUCUUCUUUUUAGCAUGUCCAAUAGGACAUCCAAGAUAAGUCAAAGGAAAGCAUCCUCUAGUAAACCCUGCAGAAUCCUCCACCUCUUGAACAAUAGCAUGUGCAGUCUUGUUGAACAUGUAAAAGAAACUCUUCCCUUUAUUAAUAAGUUGGCCUGACUGAGCUUCAUACAAUUGAAGAGUUUCCAUUAUUAAUUGGAGAUAUCUCUAGAGGAAAGCAUCCUCUAGUAAACCCUGCAGUAUCCUCCACCUCUUAAACAAUAGCAUAUGCAGUCUUGUUGAACAUGUAAAAGAAACUCUUCCCUUUAUAAAUAAGUUGGCCUGACUGAGCUUCAUAUAAUUGAAGAGUUUCCAUUAUUAAUUGGAGAGAUCUCUAGUUUGCAGAUGCAAAUAUGAUGGUAUCAUCUGCAUAAGCAAGAUGAUUCAAUUGAUCACUCCAUUUGGGCAAUCCAAAACUCUUAAAUUCAUAAUUGUAAAACAAAUGAUUAAGAGCCUUUGUUAACACUUCUGUUGUCAAGAUGAAAAGAGCAGGAGAUAAGGGAUCCCCCUGCUUUACCCCUCUAGUAGAAUGAAAAAAUCCAUGAGCCUGACCAUUAACCAGUGCAGAGUACCAAUUAUUGGCUACCAACCUCCAAACCAUAUCCAACAUCUUGUUGUCAAAGCCCAUUUUCUCUAAGACUCUAAUCAGAAACUUCCAAUCUACCCUAUCAUAAGAUUUAGCCAUAUCCAAUUUGAUGACCAAAUUAGUAGGCUUCCCUCUCUUUCUUAUCUCUGAGAUUGUUUCUUAUGCCAAUAACACAUUUUCAGUGAUAUUUCUUCCUUUCACGAAUCCUGACUGAUUAGGAGAAAUUAGCUUUGGCAAGAUCCCCUCCAACCUAUCAUGAAGAAGUCUGGAAAUAAUCUUAUUAAGAAAAUUACUCAAACGGAUUGGCCUAAGGUCUGAAAAAGAUUGAAUGAUAUCUUUUUUAGGUAUUAGGACUAGGUUGGUAUGAGUGAUAGACUUAGGCAAAGAAUGACCCUAAAAAAACAUGAACCACCUUCACGAUAUCUGGCCCAACUAUAUCCCAACAAGUCUGAUAGAAGUGACCUGUAAACCUAUCUGGACCACAAGCACUAUCAGCAUUAAGCUCAAAUACCACUUUUUUGAUUUCAUUCUCUAGAGGUAAUGCAGUCAAUCUAUCAUUUUCAUCUUGUUUUAUUUGGGGUUGUUUGUACUGUAACAAAGAUGCUUCAGAAUCAGUAGCUCCCCUAGUGAAUUGGUCUUUAAAGCUCACUGCCUCUUCUGCAACUUGUUUAUCCCCCAUAGCCCAAGAGCCAUCUGUUUUCAACAUUCUGUUAAUAGUUAACUUUUUUCUUCUUCCUUUUACCAAACAAUGAUAGAAUCUAGUAUUUCUAUCUCCUUCCUCAAACCAUUGCACCCUUGCCUUUUUCCUCCAAUACUCUUCCUCAUAGUGAAUAUAGAGCUUUAGUUCAGCUUGAGCUUGCUGCAAUACUACUCUAUUUUCUGGGGAUGGACAUUCUUCAAAGUAUUCUUCUUUCACUCUCACAAUUUCCUCCCUAAUGGCCAAUUGAUUAAAGAUGUCUCCAAAUUUCUCCUUGAUCCACUUUGAUAGUGCAUGUUUAGUUCUUUUUUGCUUCAACUUUAGUUGAAUAUAUAUAUCAUCCACAUCUUCAGACACCCAAUUUUGUUGCACCACUUCUUUAAAGUCUUCUCUUUCUGUCCAGAACUUUAGAAACUUGAAUGGUCUAACAAUAGUAUGAAUGUUAGCCCCACAAGUUAACAAUAAUGGAGCAUGAUCAGACCCUGUUCUGGCCAGAUGCUGCAAACUAGUGUGACCAUACAACUCUGAAAACCUUUGAUUCACCACUACUCUAUCAACCCUUUUGAAAAUGCAAUCUUCAUUUACUCUACCAUUCCACCAAGUAAAAGGACUUCCAGAGAAGUUGACAUCAAAUAGAUCACAAAAAUUAAUACAGAAGGCAAAAUCUUCAUAUUCUUGAGGAUACAUAGGUAAACCUCCAAUUUUCUCCUCUCCCCCCAUUAUUACAUUGAAGUUUCCACCCAUCAUCCAAGGUAAUGAAAAUUUAUGGCUAAAGGAGUAAAUGUCAUCCCAAAGUCUUAAUCUUUCCUGUGCAGUACAUUUAGCAUAAACAACUAUUGUAAUCACCUGAUUAUCAGCGUCCAAAGUAAGAUGUAGGGUGAGUUAUUGCUUAGUGUCUGAAAUAAGUCCCACUUGAAUAUGAUAUUUGAUAAAAAUCCAAAUCUGACCAUUACUAUUAUUAUUCACAUAGCUCAUCCCCAACCUCCUUUUAUAUCUUUGAAUAUGUCUGGAAUCUUGAAAUGGUUCCAUCAGAGCAAUAAUAUCAAACUUAUGAUGAUUGUUUAACAUUUGCACUCUAUGAAAAGCAUUAUGUGUGUUUACUGAUCUAAUAUUCCAAAACAAAGUUUUUAUUGUCAUUGAGAUACUUCUCCCCCCUCCCCCCCUUUGGCCUGAAUCCUUGUUGGAAUGCUACUGAUUGAAAUUUCCCCCUUACUUUUACCUUUUCUGGCUUUAGGUAUAGCUUUAGGAGAUAAACAUGCAUCCCUACUUAUUUUACUGAUGUUGUUGUUGUGUUCCUCUUCUUUAUCUUCUUCCCUUUGUCCCCCAUUCCUUUUUCAGUAUUUGGCAAUGCUAAAACUUCCUCAACAUCUGCAGGUUCCUUGCACUAUCCCUGGUGUGACACAAUUCCAUGUAACAUAUUCAUUGGAGGUGAUUUCCUCUCUACCCCUAUCAAUACUAUCUCCUUACUAUCCUAACCAAUAUGUCUCUCAAUAUUCCAUACUUGUUUCUGAAUAAAGUCAUGUGGAAAUCUUCCCUCAACUGCUAUGACAACUUGAAGUGGAGUCUGAUCAAUCACAGUUGCCAUUUCCUUCAUAAAUUGGAGAUCAUUCUAAUUAUCCAGAGUUGUAUAUAUCUCUAAUUGCUUCUCCACAUUAAUGCCUUCAGUAUUUUGCUCUGUAGAAUCUUCCCCUUUAGUAGUUGUGGUCUGCUCAAUGGUAUCUUCUUCAUCUGUAGAUUCCACUUUCUUUUCCUCUUCAAUUUCACUACUAUGAGUACUCAUUUCUGAUGAUUUAGAGGUAGUAAGAUAUUUAUGCUCUUGUAUUGCUGCUAUACUUUGUUGCACAUCAUUAUCUGGACAUUUGUUCUUGUUAUUUUUUGUUGUAAACUAACUGUUUAUCCACUUUUUUGUGGACAUUUGUUGUUCUUCUGUCCUCCCUGUGAUUGGCUUCUCCUUUUCUUGUAGAUUCUCUGUAUGAGCAACAUCUGAGCUGUGAUUUUCUACUACAUCAAAAGUGUUAGCAGUGGCAACACCUUCCUCC
RNAcentral lists this long non-coding RNA (5472 nucleotides) under Solanum tuberosum (potato). RNAcentral describes it as "long non-coding RNA (STUB_LNC007945)". The record is from RNAcentral. Lineage: Eukaryota; Viridiplantae; Streptophyta; Magnoliopsida; Solanales; Solanaceae.